GUCACAUUCACUUUCUUCUCAUCCACGAUUUAAUCCUAAAAAGAGAGCCAGUCAAGGAGGAGGUGCUCUUGGCAAAUAAUGUAACAAGAUACAACCAAAGAAUCUUUUUGGGAACACAGAUUCAGCAAGGGAGAGGAGACUAAGAGCCAGAAGACUUCUGAUACCUAGUACCAGAGGGGAGGGUACUCUGUAAUACGGCUGCUAAACUUCAGAAGAAUAUUUGCAAAGGAAAUUAGUAGCGUAUAUUUUACAAAGAUUAAAGUGUCUGUUGAGUUAAAU
This 279-nucleotide long non-coding RNA is filed under the name Capra hircus (goat). Its description in RNAcentral is "lncRNA (ENSCHIG00000007286.1)". Lineage: Eukaryota; Metazoa; Chordata; Mammalia; Artiodactyla; Bovidae. The record is from RNAcentral.